GUAGCCGGAGCCGGAGCUCGGCCUCACAGUCGGAGCAGCUUCCAUAGAGACCAAACUGUAUUUUUCACGGAGCCCAAAUGUCCAAAUGUCCAGAUAGAGCUGUCUGAAUAGACUCUGUGCUGUUCCCUUUAUCUGAACAUGUUUAACAUCUGAAUUAUCUCCCGCUGUCCUACGAAGCUAAUGCAGUUAGCUUAGCUUGCUAGCUGGAAACAGUCUGGAGGAAAAGCUGCUGUGAAUCAGUAAAAAUGUCUAAAGUGGAGAACGAGGAGGAACUUUGUGGACAACGCAAACUACUGGACGCUGUUUUCAAGCCUGCAGCAGAAGUCCAACUGCUGUUGGUGAGUAAAGAAGAGGUUCCCCCUGAGCAGCAGGAGUGGAGCCUCAGGCUGGACCAGGAGGACCCACCAGAGCCCCCCACACAUUAAAGAGGAACAGGAGGAACUCUGGACCAGUCAGGAGGGAGAGCAGCUUCGAGGGCUGGAGGAGGCUGAUAUCACCAAGUUCACAUUCACUCCUGUCGCUGUGAAGAGUGAAGAAGACGAUGAAGAGAAACCUCAGUCCUCACAGCUUCAUCAAAGACCGACUGAACAGAUGGAAACAAAAGCUGAUGGAGAUGACUGUGGAGGACCAGAACCAGCCAGGAACUCAGAUCCAGAUGGACAUUUUCAACCUGAGACUGAUGACAAGACGUCAGACUCCUCUGAACCUGAGGCAGAUGACAGUUGUGAUUGGGAGGAGACCAGGAAACCUCAGUCAGGUUCAAACCCUCUGCGAAACAAUAAAGUACCUGUAAGUGAUCAGGAAUGUAAUACUGGAAAAACAUCAAGUUGCUCCUCUGAAUGUGCUGCAAGCUCUGGCCACAAAGGACAUCUGCAGGAAUACAGUGGUCCCCGAACAGCAGAGAAACCAUUCAGUGUCUCAGUUUGCAAAAAAAGACUUUCAAGUGAGAGGAAAUUUCAUAGGAAUUCUCACAUUAAAGAAACUAUUCAGUUGUUCUGUCUGUGGAAAAAGAUUCAAACAACAAUCAUAUUUGACCAGACACUUAGAAGUGCAUACAAAAGACAAUACUUUUCUCAGUUUGUAAAAAAUAUUUUCCACUGAGAAAAGCUGCCAUGAGGCACAUAAAAAGACACUCAAGUGUGAAACCCUUCAGUUGUUCAGUUUGUGGUAAAAAAUUUAUAGAAAACUGAGGAAGUCAGUUCAGAACUGUGACGCAUCUAACAAUAAUUCAUGCCACAUAGUCAUUCAAAGUCUUUUUUUGUCUUCGUGGGCUGCACGAUAUGAGAAAAAUGUGCGAGAACUUUGUUCAGUAUUGCGGUGUCAAAAUAAAUCUAGAGCAUCAAAGUCAUUAUAUAAACAAAUGAAUCAAUCUCAUAAAAUAAAUGAUAUUCCUGGUAUCAAAAUGAGUGAAGUUAACAAGGAAAUCAGGGACUCAUCAGUCCUUCCUCGAGUCCUCCUUCCCUCUUUGUUGUAAUCAGCCGCUUAUUCCACCACAGUAUCUAUAUCCCAGAACUAGGAACCUUUUGAUGAAUUCAGUGUUUCUAUUGCAGGGACCAGGGUCUAAAUAAGUGUCUUUAUUCUACCCCCCAAAGGUAUUUAUUUUAGUCCCCAUAAAGUUAUGUUCCUCCUACCCUCAGGCGGACACAGACGUGAGUGCUGCCAGCUCAUGUGCUGCUCCGUCACCUGGAAAUGCUUUAAUGACCUUCCAGACUGUUGCAAUUUUAUGUUUGUUGAUGACUUGAUGACUGUAUCAGUUAUUAAAUUUGGAACAAACUUUA
Long non-coding RNA from Micropterus salmoides (largemouth bass), 1778 nucleotides. RefSeq lists it as uncharacterized. NCBI's taxonomy places the organism in Eukaryota, Metazoa, Chordata, Actinopteri, Centrarchiformes, Centrarchidae. The transcript has 2 exons. The record is from RefSeq and is a predicted model, not a curated record.